This 559-nucleotide ribosomal RNA is filed under the name Chrysosporium sp. 21IN12. RNAcentral's name for it is "eukaryotic LSU rRNA". The stretch from base 203 to 356 matches the Rfam family "5.8S ribosomal RNA". Lineage: Eukaryota; Fungi; Ascomycota; Eurotiomycetes; Onygenales; Onygenaceae. The record is from RNAcentral.
UAAAAGUCGUAACAAGGUUUCCGUAGGUGAACCUGCGGAAGGAUCAUUACAGUGCCCGGGGGAGGCUCAGGCCAACCCCACAGGCCCCACACGUGUCUACCGACCCUGUUGCCUCGGCGCGCCCGCUAAGCUAUGGCCGCCGGGGAAACCACAAACAAAUCUUGAAGUGAAUGCAGCCUGAGUAAUUAAACAAAUUAAUUAAAACUUUCAACAACGGAUCUCUUGGUUCCGGCAUCGAUGAAGAACGCAGCGAAAUGCGAUAAGUAAUGUGAAUUGCAGAAUUCAGUGAAUCAUCGAAUCUUUGAACGCACAUUGCGCCCUCUGGCAUUCCGGAGGGCAUGCCUGUCCGAGCGUCAUUGCAACCCUCAAGCGCGGCUUGUGUGUUGGGCGGUCGUCCCCCGGGACGUGCCCUAAAGGCAGUGACGGCAGUCGCGAUCCGGCGCCUGAGUGUAUGGGAAAUCCACCGCUCUAACGGCACGGCCGGCAGCCUGUCCAACCAUUUAUUUAUUUAUCUUGUUGACCUCGGAUCAGGUAGGGAUACCCGCUGAACUUAAGCAUA